RNAcentral lists this ribosomal RNA (512 nucleotides) under uncultured bacterium. RNAcentral describes it as "partial 16S ribosomal RNA". It matches the Rfam family "Bacterial small subunit ribosomal RNA", at positions 28 to 523 of the family's 1533-position model. The record is from RNAcentral.
GAUGAACGCUGGCGGCGUGCCUAAUACAUGCAAGUCGAGCGAAUGAUGAGGAGCUUGCUCCUCUGAUUUAGCGGCGGACGGGUGAGUAACACGUGGGUAAUCUGCCUGUAAGACGGGGAUAACUCCGGGAAACCGGGGCUAAUACCGGAUAACAAGAGAAGAAGCAUUUCUUCUUUUUGAAAGUCGGUUUUGGCUGACACUUACAGAUGAGCCCGCGGCGCAUUAGCUAGUUGGUGAGGUAACGGCUCACCAAGGCGACGAUGCGUAGCCGACCUGAGAGGGUGAUCGGCCACACUGGGACUGAGACACGGCCCAGACUCCUACGGGAGGCAGCAGUAGGGAAUCUUCGGCAAUGGGCGAAAGCCUGACCGAGCAACGCCGCGUGAGCGAUGAAGGCCUUCGGGUCGUAAAGCUCUGUUGUUAGAGAAGAACAAGUACGAGAGUAACUGCUCGUACCUUGACGGUACCUAACCAGAAAGCCACGGCUAACUACGUGCCAGCCGCCGCAGUAA